Molecule: non-coding RNA, 56 nt
Organism: Bos taurus (domestic cattle)
Lineage: Eukaryota; Metazoa; Chordata; Mammalia; Artiodactyla; Bovidae
Source: Rfam
UGGCUCAGAGGUUAAAGCGUCUGCCUGUAAUGCAGGAGACCUGGGUUCGAUCCCUG